Molecule: long non-coding RNA, 1350 nt
Organism: Crotalus tigris (Tiger rattlesnake)
Lineage: Eukaryota; Metazoa; Chordata; Lepidosauria; Squamata; Viperidae
Exons: 4
Source: RefSeq, a predicted model, not a curated record
UGACUUAUGACUGGUUGAGUAGUCCUCGACUUAUGACUGGUUGGGGGUCGUGGCAUUAAAAAGGUUGAGAACCACUGGUGUAUAUGAAUGUAUGUUUGUUUCUUCAGAAGGACAGAUACUGAAGCUGAUGCUCAAGUACUUUGGCCACCAAAUGAGGACUCACUGGAAAAGACCUUGAUGUUGGGAAAGACUGAAGGCUAAAGGAGAAGGGGACAGCAGAGGAUGAGAUGGUUAGACUAUCCGUGCCAUGUGCUGGAUAGGAUUGGAAUCCAUUUAUCUAGAGCUGUAUGAAUAUUACAAUUUAAGACAUGAAAAAUCGCAGGAGAAAAACGCGCCAGAGCUGGAAAUCAGAACAAGUUUAAGAACAAAAUUUACAAAGAAUAAAAACAUAAUAUAAUGUAUAAUUCCAAACUUCUGGACGCCAUAGCAACAUGCUACUAUAAUUACGUCAAGAGUUCCAAGGAUAGAAUCUGAACACAAAAGAAAAUGUUUUUAAAAAUGCAUAAAUUACAUUGACUUGUUCAAUUUUUUUAAAAAAGAAAUUGCCAUUAUAACUUUAUCAAAUAACUCAUUAAUUCUCUAUGGAAGUCAUAUUCUAUCUGUCAUGCUAAAGAUUUUCACAUCUGUAUUUGUAUAGCUUGGAAACAGCUAUGCAGGAUGGAGCCAUUUAUGCAUCAGGAUCCAUGAACUAUGUAGGAUUGUCCUAUGAUCAAUAACCUUGUGGAUCCGAAGAUGAAGUCUAAUAUUCUCUAGUAUUCUCCUGUAAUCAAUGCUGUCUCUAAACAUUGUACCAGGCUGUGUGUAUAUAGGCACUUCCAUACUUUUUCUGUUAAAAUGGUCCCCCUCCCUGUUUAAAAAGGAUUCUUUGCAGGGAGACUGUCAGAGAAUUAUUAGAUGGAAAUCCCUUUUACUAAUAUUUUCAAAAAGAUGCCAGACUAGAAACAUGUAUACAGGUAGGCCUUAACUUAAAACCACAAUGGACACAAAAAUUUCCAUUGCUAAACCAAGUGAAUCGUGCCUGAUUUUAUGACCUUUUUUGCCACAGUUAAGUGGUUGCUAAGCAAAUCCAGAUUCCCUCAUGGAAUUUAUCGGAAGCUGCUGGGAAGGUCACAAAUGGCGAUCACAUGAUGCUGAGACUGCAACCAUCCUAAAUAUAUGCUGGUUGCCAAGUGCUCAAAUUUUGAUCAUGUGACUGGGGAGGGCGCAAUGGGUAUAAGAGCGAGGACUAGUCACUUUUUUUCAGCACCAUUGAGCAGAAAUUAAAUGAAUGAUCAUAUAGGUAGUCCUCAAUGUACGACCACAAUUGAGCCCAAAAUUUCUGUUGCUAAGUGAAACAUUUGUUAAGUGAAU